Molecule: ribosomal RNA, 196 nt
Filed under: uncultured bacterium
Lineage: Bacteria
Description: partial 16S ribosomal RNA
Rfam family: Bacterial small subunit ribosomal RNA
Source: RNAcentral
AGCUCGACACCUACGGAGGCAGCAGUGAGGGAUAUUGGUCAAUGGGGGAAACCCUGAACCAGCAACGCCGCGUGAGGGAUGACGGUCUUCGGAUUGUAAACCUCUGUCCUCUGUGAAGAUAAUGACGGUAGCAGAGGAGGAAGCUCCGGCUAACUACGUGACAGCAGCCGCGGUAAUCUGAGCGGGCUGGCAAGGC